CAAAUAGGGCAUUGUUCAGAGGUAUACAUAAAGGCAUUUAGAUCCAAUCUUUAGGAUUGUCUGUACUCCUUUGAACUAUUUGUAAGGUUUUUUUUUUUCUUUUGUUGUUGUUAGUAUGUGUGUUUUGGCUAUCGUUUUUAAAAUCAAUGCUACCAAUUAAAAUUUAAACUGUUGAUGUUUACAGUAUGUGACACUUAAAGAGAUGCCUGCCAUGCUUGUUUUCAAAGAUGAAACUUACUUUGUUUAUGAUGAGUUUGAAGAUGGUGAUCUGUCAGCAUGGAUCAGUAGGGAAAGGUUUCAGAAUUAUCUUACUAUGGAUGGCUUCCUCUUAUAUGAACUUGGAGACACAGGAUGAAGACUCCCUUGCUGCUAAAUGCUGAGCCAGGUGUCAACAAGAAGGGUACAGCACACUCUUAUGUCACCAAGUUUCCCAGAGAUGCCAGCCUAACUAAGCACCAACAGCUCCUGAGGGCGGGAUGGAGGACAGAGAUAAAUAGGACAAACCUGGGAGAAGAUUGUCAUAAUGGAGGUCCUGAGCUCUCAGUUCUGGAGUGGUUUCUCAACUGGAAAUGCAGAGAAACACACACACACACACACACACACACACACACACACACACACUCAUGUAGAGAAAUACAGAGAACUUACUUUAAACAAAAAGGCAAUAUCAUUAUUCUGAGAAAUUAAUUUCAUUACCUAAUGCAAUCAGUCCAAGAAACUUAAUAGCUAUAAUUAAGAACUCAAUAUCACAGAUGAACCAAGUCCUUAAUGUGUUAUCUGCCCUACUAAAAGUUACACAGCAUUUUACUAGUAAAACCAUCACCAAAAGUAAGAUGAUCUUGGUUUAGAAUCACAGGUGUUAAUCUUUUAACACAAGGUUAUUCUUGUCAAAGUCCACAUAGGAUCAGUGGGUGGACAGGUUCCUCAGCCCAAGCCUUCUGAAUGGACAAUGCCAGAGCUCUAGCCCU
This 968-nucleotide long non-coding RNA is filed under the name Fukomys damarensis (Damara mole-rat). RNAcentral describes it as "lncRNA (ENSFDAG00000023574.1)". The record is from RNAcentral. Lineage: Eukaryota; Metazoa; Chordata; Mammalia; Rodentia; Bathyergidae.